GGGGAAGGGUAGCUUGCUACCUGACCUAGCGGCGGACGGGUGAGUAAUGCUUAGGAAUCUGCCUAUUAGUGGGGGACAACAUUCCGAAAGGAAUGCUAAUACCGCAUACGCCCUACGGGGGAAAGCAGGGGAUCUUCGGACCUUGCGCUAAUAGAUGAGCCUAAGUCAGAUUAGCUAGUUGGUGGGGUAAAGGCCUACCAAGGCGACGAUCUGUAGCGGGUCUGAGAGGAUGAUCCGCCACACUGGGACUGAGACACGGCCCCAUACUCCUACGGGAGGCAGCAGUGGGGAAUAUUGGACAAUGGGCGAAAGCCUGAUCCAUCCAUGCCGCGUGUGUGAAGAAGGCCUUUUGGUUGUAAAAGCCUUUAAGCGAGGAGGAGGCUCUGGAAUUAAUACUCUUGGAUAUUGGAACGUUACUCGCAAAAAAAGCCCGGUUAUUUUUUUGCCAACAGCCGGGGGUAUUACAGAGGGGGCGAGCGUUAAUCGGAUUUACUUGGCGU
This 500-nucleotide ribosomal RNA is filed under the name uncultured bacterium. RNAcentral's name for it is "bacterial SSU rRNA". It matches the Rfam family "Bacterial small subunit ribosomal RNA", at positions 68 to 561 of the family's 1533-position model. The record is from RNAcentral.